AGCUUUGCGAAGUGCCGAUAUCGUAACCAAUGAGAUUUUACCGAGAUGCUAUUAUUGCUAGUUGAAAAAAAAUCCUAUUCAAUAGUGUAUCAUGUUUUCUACAAGAAAUUUGGAACUGUUUGAUUCCUGAUAAUGGUUUAUAUUA
Toxorhynchites rutilus septentrionalis is the source of this 145-nucleotide small nuclear RNA. RefSeq annotates it as U4 spliceosomal RNA. NCBI's taxonomy places the organism in Eukaryota, Metazoa, Arthropoda, Insecta, Diptera, Culicidae. The record is from RefSeq and is a predicted model, not a curated record. The transcript has a single exon.